UGGGGAAUCUUGCGCAAUGGUCGAGAGACUGACGCAGCGACGCCGCGUGUGGGAGGACGCCUUUCGGGGUGUAAACCACUGUUGCCCGGGACGAACAGCGCCAUUCGUGGCGUGUGACGGUACCGGGUGAGGAAGCACCGGCUAACUCCGUGCCAGCAGCCGCGGUAAUACGGAGGGUGCGAGCGUUGUCCGGAAUCAUUGGGCGUAAAGGGCGCGUAGGUGGCCCGGUCAGUCUUUGGUGAAAGCGCGGGGCUCAACCCUGCGUCGGCCAGGGAUACUGCCGCGGCUGGAGCACUGUAGAGGCAGGCGGAAUUCCGGGUGUAGCGGUGGAAUGCGUAGAGAUCCGGAAGAACACCGGUGGCGAAGGCGGCCUGCUGGGCAGUUGCUGACACUGAGGCGCGACAGCGUGGGGAGCAAACAG
RNAcentral lists this ribosomal RNA (421 nucleotides) under uncultured bacterium. RNAcentral's name for it is "bacterial SSU rRNA". It matches the Rfam family "Bacterial small subunit ribosomal RNA", at positions 355 to 775 of the family's 1533-position model. The record is from RNAcentral.